Molecule: ribosomal RNA, 556 nt
Filed under: uncultured bacterium
Lineage: Bacteria
Description: bacterial SSU rRNA
Rfam family: Bacterial small subunit ribosomal RNA
Source: RNAcentral
AGUAAGGAAUAUUGGUCAAUGGACGCAAGUCUGAACCAGCCAUGCCGCGUGGAGGAUGAAGGUCCUCUGGAUUGUAAACUUCUUUUAUUUGGGAAGAAACCACCGAUUUCUAUUGGUGUUGACGGUACCAGAUGAAUAAGCACCGGCUAACUCCGUGCCAGCAGCCGCGGUAAUACGGAGGGUGCAAGCGUUAUCCGGAUUCACUGGGUUUAAAGGGUGCGUAGGCGGGUUGGUAAGUCCGUGGUGAAAUCUCCAAGCUUAACUUGGAAACUGCCGUGGAUACUAUCAAUCUUGAAUAUAGUGGAGGUGAGCGGAAUAUGUCAUGUAGCGGUGAAAUGCUUAGAUAUGACAUAGAACACCCAUUGCGAAGGCAGCUCGCUACACUAUUAUUGACGCUGAGGCACGAAAGCGUGGGGAUCAAACAGGAUUAGAUACCCUGGUAGUCCACGCCCUAAACGAUGAUUACUCGACAUCAGCGAUACACUGUUGGUGUCUGAGCGAAAGCAUUAAGUAAUCCACCUGGGAAGUACGACCGCAAGGUUGAAACUCAAAGGAA